This 182-nucleotide non-coding RNA is filed under the name Syntrophomonadaceae bacterium. RNAcentral's name for it is "6S RNA". It matches the Rfam family "6S / SsrS RNA". Rfam says of the family: E. coli 6S RNA was the first non coding RNA to be sequenced, but its function was unknown until recently. It consists of 184 nucleotides that fold into an extended hairpin structure with a large single-stranded internal bulge. Lineage: Bacteria; Bacillati; Bacillota; Clostridia; Eubacteriales; Syntrophomonadaceae. The record is from RNAcentral.
AAAACCCUACGAUGUGCGUGGCGACUCGGGAGUUUUGAGCCAACACCAAAAAAUAAGGAGCCUGGGCUCUGGUUGUGGCUUGUAGACCCCGUUACGGGGGAACAAAAAGCAACCAGGAGGGCACCACCGUGCUGAGCCGAGGUUCAGAAACACCCGUCUGCCACGGCAUAUGUGGGGUUUCU